This 374-nucleotide unclassified non-coding RNA is filed under the name soil metagenome. RNAcentral's name for it is "partial contains 5.8S ribosomal RNA, internal transcribed spacer 2, and large subunit ribosomal RNA". The stretch from base 1 to 120 matches the Rfam family "5.8S ribosomal RNA", at positions 35 to 154 of the family's 154-position model. The record is from RNAcentral.
GAUGAAGAACGCAGCGAAAUGCGAUAAGUAAUGUGAAUUGCAGAAUUCAGUGAAUCAUCGAAUCUUUGAACGCACAUUGCGCCCGGCAGCAAUCUGCCGGGCAUGCCUGUCCGAGCGUCAUUUCUUCCCUCGAGCGCGGCUAGCCCUUCGGGGCCUGCCGCCGCCUCGGUGUUGGGGCUCUACGGGUGGGGUUCGUCCCCCCCGCAGUCCCCGAAAUGUAGUGGCGGUCCAGCCGCGGCGCCCCCUGCGUAGUAGAUCCUACAUCUCGCAUCGGGUCCCGGCGAAGGCCAGCCGUCGAACCUUUUAUACUCAUGGUUUGACCUCGGAUCAGGUAGGGUUACCCGCUGAACUUAAGCAUAUCAAUAAGCGGAGGA